Molecule: small RNA, 1380 nt
Filed under: Cryptococcus neoformans H99
Lineage: Eukaryota; Fungi; Basidiomycota; Tremellomycetes; Tremellales; Cryptococcaceae
Description: Cryptococcus neoformans var. grubii H99 hypothetical RNA
Source: RNAcentral
CAGGUAUGCAGAGCAGAGAUACGGAGGAUUGAUUUCUUUGCGAGAUACAGGCCGGAGAGGUUGAGACCGAAAGCUCCGCAGACGAUGACAAUCAAUCCACCAAACCAAACGUUCCUAUGAGGAAAGAUCUCACGAAGACGUUUGUCAGUGAGAGCCAGUCCCAGACCAACCAUUGUUUCAUCAAUGAUCAGAUAACCUGCUUUGCCUUUACUUUCCAUUGGGGGAAGAGUCGAGUGAGGAAUGAUAUGUGGAACGAUGUAUAUGAAGGGCGGCUAUGCCUGUUGACGCUAAUCGCCGUACAAUCACCAUGCCUCCCAUGUCAGCCUCAUCCAUUAGGCCUAUGGCCGUCUGAUAUAUUGCGUUGAUUGUGGGAGUUUUGCCAGUAUCCGCAGUAUCGUCAAGGUUUAGGAGAAAUGACGGCACACGGUUGUUAGGACCAGCUCACAAGGAAUGCUGGCAGCGUCGUAGGAAUUUGUCGAGGCAUAGAGCUUGCUUCGCAUUGAGAACAGUGUAUUCAAGGAAAAGGAAGAGGAUGGGGUAAUUCAGGGAUAAUUCAGAAGGCGUCUUGAUAAUUCCUUCGAUGCCUUUGCUCAAUAAUGCCACAUCUUCCCGAACCCUUUUUCUUCGACAACUCCUUCCACCUGAAGACUUUUUAGAAGUCCCUUGGGCCUAGUUUGUUUCAAUGAAUCGAUUGGGUGCGGCUAAAUUGCCGAGAGACGCCGUUCAUUGGUUAGAUCGUUCUUGGACAAUCUCGAGGCCUUCAAACCUUCAAACUCUUCUUCUGACAGUUGGGGGACAGCAAGGCUUCUGGGUUUCGAAGGCAUGGAAUCAGCUUUUCCCCCAUUGUUUCGUAGGGUCCUGGCAGCCAAGAGACGGGAGUAGGCAUCUGCCCACGAUUCAUUGUCUAGCCAAACUUCAGUCUGACUGCGGUAGGCCACAUGAAGGAUUUUUGCUCGGAACCAAUCUUUGCCGUUUUCUUCUUCCGGGAGAUCAGCCCCUUGGUUUUCUUCAUGUUUCUGAACUGUGGAGGAAGGCAAAAGAGAUGAAUAUGUUAUGAGGGGAGAAGUCGGGAGUACAGGGGCAGGUCGGAGACGAGGGAAGCUCGGCAGCUCAUGCUCAGUAUGGUCGAGACGCGAGUGCCUUUUUCUCUUCUUGCCUCUGAGCAACAAGGCGUCCAACCGCAAAGCAAGUUACAGCAGCACAAAUAAAGGGUGUCGUUGAUACACAAAUGAAGUCCUCAUAAUACCCAUGUACGUAUCAAUGCUCCUGAUUAAGUAAGCCGCCUACUUUGCCGAGCUGGAGCUACUGUAUCGUGUAUUGUACAUACCUGCGCGUUAUGGCGGUUGAGAGAUUCUUUGAUCAUUUAUGCUUGCAUCCUUU